GUUUUUCCUGGUGUUCUAAAAGGUCCACUUGAAAAGUAGUCUGUAUAUAUAUAAAGUCCUGGGAAUGUAAGAGAGAGAUCAGCAUUUCCACCAAACAGGAACAAAGAAGUCUGAGAUCUGGUUCUGGAGAGCUGGGAGGAGGAGCAAAGCUCCUGAUUUCUAUCAAGUUGGGAAUGUUGGCUCCAUUGUCUCCUGCAGUUUACCUCAAGCAGCAAGGAGACUGCAAGGUGCUGAAAUGACUGGCGUGCUCCACUAUGCCUGCUUCAUGUAAUGCUGAAGAUAGGAUACAGGUUUUCACUGAUGCUGUGCAAAUACUCUCUCUGCUCAAUUAUAUUUGGAGAACUUAAUGGGAAGUCAGCAGAUUUUCGGUCAGAGAAGGUAUCACCAGAACUCAGCCUGGCUCUCACCAUGAUCUCAGAUUUUCUGAACAACGGGAGACAUCUUUCAGUUGUUCUUCAGAAACACUGCCCAUGAAACUUUGCCUUAGUAUCCUAAACUAAGCCACUGGGAAUUUCCAAGACAUGUUACAUUUUUGAAUGUUUUAUAAGUGAAACUUAGACAUUUUACAUUUUAGUUGCUUUGUGUUGCUGAUUCUGGGAAUCUCAAUGUACAAUGCCACUCAAUCCUUUAGUUAUCAAUUGAGUAAAGAAAGUAAGCAUUAUUAUAUAAAACUAUGUUCCUUAUUACUUAAGGAAUGUAAUCACUUAAAUGUUUGCCAAAGUUUUCUUUAAAAUAAAUGUAAGCUAGGAAAUCACAGCAGUUUCUACACACUAUAGUAUUGAGAAUCUCCCUUUUUUUUGUUCAGAUUUAUUUCUAUUUUCUUUAUUGAAAAAAUUUCCACCUCCUCCCCUUCUCCCAUUUCCCUUCCCCU
Molecule: long non-coding RNA, 871 nt
Organism: Alexandromys fortis (reed vole)
Lineage: Eukaryota; Metazoa; Chordata; Mammalia; Rodentia; Cricetidae
Exons: 3
Source: RefSeq, a predicted model, not a curated record